GGGUGAGUAACGCGUAUCCAACCUUCCCCUUAGUAGGGCAUAGCCCGUAGAAAUGCGGAUUAAUACCCUAUGUUAUUCGUCGAGGACAUCUGAAGUGAAUCAAAGGUUUACCGCUAAGGGAUGGGGAUGCGUCUGAUUAGGCAGCAGGCGGGGUAACGGCCCACCUGGCCUACGAUCAGUAGGGGUUCUGAGAGGAAGGUCCCCCACAUUGGAACUGAGACACGGUCCAAACUCCUACGGGAGGCAGCAGUGAGGAAUAUUGGUCAAUGGGCGCGAGCCUGAACCAGCCAAGUAGCGUGCAGGAUGACGGCCCUAUGGGUUGUAAACUGCUUUUAUGCGGGGAUAAAGUUCACUACGUGUAGUGUUUUGUAGGUACCGCAUGAAUAAGGACCGGCUAAUUCCGUGCCAGCAGCCGCGGUAAUACGGAAGGUCCGGGCGUUAUCCGGAUUUAUUGGGUUUAAAGGGAGCGCAGGCGGAAGCUUAAGCGUGACGUGAAAUGUAGCCGCUCAACGGCUGAGUUGCGUCGCGAACUGGGUUUCUUGAGUGAGUGCGACGUCAGCGGAAUUCGUGGUGUAGCGGUGAAAUGCUUAGAUAUCACGAAGAACCCCGAUUGCGAAGGC
This 620-nucleotide ribosomal RNA is filed under the name uncultured bacterium. RNAcentral describes it as "bacterial SSU rRNA". It matches the Rfam family "Bacterial small subunit ribosomal RNA", at positions 104 to 722 of the family's 1533-position model. The record is from RNAcentral.